This is a transfer RNA of Asticcacaulis sp. AC466, 74 nucleotides long. It matches the Rfam family "tRNA". From Rfam's summary of the family: Transfer RNA (tRNA) molecules are approximately 80 nucleotides in length. Their secondary structure includes four short double-helical elements and three loops (D, anti-codon, and T loops). The record is from Rfam. Lineage: Bacteria; Pseudomonadati; Pseudomonadota; Alphaproteobacteria; Caulobacterales; Caulobacteraceae.
GCACCCAUAGCUCAGCUGGAUAGAGCGUUGCCCUCCGAAGGCAAAGGUCAGAGGUUCGAAUCCUCUUGGGUGCG